This 498-nucleotide ribosomal RNA is filed under the name uncultured bacterium. RNAcentral's name for it is "partial 16S ribosomal RNA". It matches the Rfam family "Bacterial small subunit ribosomal RNA", at positions 30 to 523 of the family's 1533-position model. The record is from RNAcentral.
AUUGAACGCUGGCGGCAUGCCUUACACAUGCAAGUCGAACGGUAACAGGUCUUCGGAUGCUGACGAGUGGCGAACGGGUGAGUAAUACAUCGGAACGUGCCUAGUAGUGGGGGAUAACUACUCGAAAGAGUGGCUAAUACCGCAUGAGAUCUACGGAUGAAAGCAGGGGACCGCAAGACCUUGUGCUACUAGAGCGGCCGAUGGCAGAUUAGGUAGUUGGUGGGAUAAAAGCUUACCAAGCCGACGAUCUGUAGCUGGUCUGAGAGGACGAUAAGCAACACUGGGACUGAGACACGGCCCAGACUCCUACGGGAGGCAGCAGUGGGGAAUUUUGGACAAUGGGCGCAAGCCUGAUCCAGCAAUGCCGCGUGCAGGAUGAAGGCCUUCGGGUUGUAAACUGCUUUUGUACGGAACGAAAAGCCCUGGGUUAAUACCCUGGGGUCAUGACGGUACCGUAAGAAGAAGCACCGGCUAACUAUGUGCCAGCAGCCGCCGUAA